This 361-nucleotide ribosomal RNA is filed under the name uncultured soil bacterium. RNAcentral describes it as "bacterial SSU rRNA". It matches the Rfam family "Bacterial small subunit ribosomal RNA", at positions 26 to 383 of the family's 1533-position model. The record is from RNAcentral.
AGAUUGAACGCUGGCGGCAUGCUUUACACAUGCAAGUCGAACGGUAACAGGCCGCAAGGUGCUGACGAGUGGCGAACGGGUGAGUAAUGCAUCGGAACGUGCCCAGUCGUGGGGGAUAACGCAGCGAAAGCUGUGCUAAUACCGCAUACGAUCUAUGGAUGGAAAGCGGGGGACCGAAAGGCCUCGCGCGAUUGGAGCGGCCGAUGUCAGAUUAGCUAGUUGGUGGGUAAAGCCCACAAGGCGACGAUCUGUAGCUGGCCUGAGAGGACGACCAGCCACACGUAGGAACUGACGACGACGGUCCAGACUCCGUACGGGAGCAGCGAGGUAGGGUAAUUUUGGACAAGUCGGGCACGAAGCC